Molecule: ribosomal RNA, 512 nt
Filed under: uncultured bacterium
Lineage: Bacteria
Description: bacterial SSU rRNA
Rfam family: Bacterial small subunit ribosomal RNA
Source: RNAcentral
AGAGUUGAUCAUGGCUCAGGAUGAACGCUGGCGGCGUGCCUAACACAUGCAAGUCGAACGGAAAGCUACCGCUUCGGAGACUUCGGUCAAUGUUUGGUAGUUUUAGUGGCGGACGGGUGAGUAACGCGUGGAUAACCUGCCAUAUACAGGGGGAUAACAGUUAGAAAUGACUGCUAAUACCGCAUAAGCGCACGGAAACGCAUGUUUCAGUGUGAAAAAACUCCGGUGGUAUAUGAUGGAUCCGCGUCUGAUUAGCCAGUUGGCGGGGUAACGGCCCACCAAAGCGACGAUCAGUAGCCGGCCUGAGAGGGUGAACGGCCACAUUGGGACUGAGACACGGCCCAAACUCCUACGGGAGGCAGCAGUGGGGGAUAUUGCACAAUGGGGGAAACCCUGAUGCAGCCGACGCCGCGUGAGUGAAGAAGUAUUUCGGUAUGUAAAGCUCUAUCAGCAGGGAAGAUAAUGACGGUACCUGACUAAGAAGCACCGGCUAAAUACGUGCCAGCCGCCGC